RNAcentral lists this long non-coding RNA (1062 nucleotides) under Nicotiana tabacum (common tobacco). RNAcentral describes it as "long non-coding RNA (NTAB_LNC010602)". The record is from RNAcentral. Lineage: Eukaryota; Viridiplantae; Streptophyta; Magnoliopsida; Solanales; Solanaceae.
UUGAGUUGAGUUGUUUGAAGAGUAGCUUGGGAGGUAUUAAGGGCUCACCAUGGUUAAGGUAUGUUAAGGCACUUCCCUCUUUCUUUUGGCAUGAUCUAAAGUGAAAUGAAUACGCUAUUUCAUAACGGAUUUACUCCUAGAAACUAAGGUUGCCCAUGUUGUUCUUUCCUUAUAAAGUUAUUUUAAGCAAGUAUGUAUGAUCCUUGAAUCCUAUAGAAGCUCAUAUUGAUGGUAUGAUGUCUAUAAUGUUAAUCGAAGGUGCAACGACCUUAAGUCACUCCAAAAGGUUUAGAACGUGAUUUCAUGAGUCUAACAUGCAUUAUAUAUAUCAUCUACUUUACUCUACCGAGCCGCGCUAUAGUAGGCCGGGUACAAUACCUUAUUGUGCAACCACUGAUCAGUUGGGUUUACCGAGCUCCACGUGGCCGUGUACGAUUCUACCGAGCCUUAUGAUGGUCGGGUACGUUUUUACCGAGUCUUCUUUUAGGCCGAGUACGAUAUGAUGAUGAUAAUGCCCACAGAGGCGUAUGUUUUUAAAAGUUUAUGUAUAUAUAUGUAUUAUGCAUUUCAUGUCAGUAUCCCACAGAGGCACUCAGAUGUUACAGGUUGUAUCUCCUCUAUCUCUCUUUACAUUAAUGUUCUUGUUUAUGCUUUCCUGCCUUACAUACUCGGUACUUUAUUUGUACUGACGUCCCUUUUGCCUGUGGACGCUGUGUUUCAUGCCCGUAGGUCUCGAUUGAUAGGUUGACAAUCUUCCUAGUAAGCUAUCAGCUCAGCGGAGGUGUUGGUGCACUCCACUUGCUCCAGAGUUGUCUAUUUGGUCAGUAUGCUUUGGAUAUGUAUUGAUUGGUAUGACGGGCCCUGUCCCGACCUUUAUGAUUUUAUGUACUCUUAGAGGCUUGUAGACAGAUGUCAGGUUUAUGGAUACUUGUAUGGCCUUGUUGGCCUAUGUGUUGAGUUUACAAAUGGUCAUGUCGGCCUUAUAGGCCCGUAUGUCACAUGUGUAAGUUUUUGUAUCAUGUUGGGUCGUCAUAUGUUGAGUAUUCCCUUACGUUUUAUUCU